RNAcentral lists this transfer RNA (74 nucleotides) under Candidatus Avigastranaerophilus faecigallinarum. Its description in RNAcentral is "tRNA-Arg". It matches the Rfam family "tRNA". From Rfam's summary of the family: Transfer RNA (tRNA) molecules are approximately 80 nucleotides in length. Their secondary structure includes four short double-helical elements and three loops (D, anti-codon, and T loops). Lineage: Bacteria; Bacillati; Candidatus Melainabacteria; Candidatus Gastranaerophilales; Candidatus Gastranaerophilaceae. The record is from RNAcentral.
GUGUCCGUAGCUUAAUUGGAUAGAGCAAAGAUCUCCGAAGUCUUUAGGUGUGGGUUCAAUUCCCAUCGGGCGCA